This 586-nucleotide ribosomal RNA is filed under the name uncultured bacterium. RNAcentral's name for it is "partial 16S ribosomal RNA". It matches the Rfam family "Bacterial small subunit ribosomal RNA", at positions 355 to 1375 of the family's 1533-position model. The record is from RNAcentral.
UGGGGAAUUUUGGACAAUGGGCGAAAGCCUGAUCCAGCAAUGCCGCGUGUGUGAAGAAGGCCUUCGGGUUGUAAAGCACUUUUGUCCGGAAAGAAAUCCUUGGCUCUAAUACAGUCGGGGGAUGACGGUACCGGAAGAAUAAGCACCGGCUAACUACGUGCCAGCAGCCGCGGUAAUACGUAGGGUGCAAGCGUUAAUCGGAAUUACUGGGCGUAAAGCGUGCGCAGGCGGUUUGCUAAGACCGAUGUGAAAUCCCCGGGCUCAACCUGGGAACUGCAUUGGUGACUGGCAGGCUAGAGUAUGGCAGAGGGGGGUAGAAUUCCACGUGUAGCAGUGAAAUGCGUAGAGAUGUGGAGGAAUACCGAUGGCGAAGGCAGCCCCCUGGGCCAAUACUGACGCUCAUGCACGAAAGCGUGGGGGAGCAAACAGGAUUAGAUACCCUGGUAGUCCACGCCCUAAACGAUGUCAACUAGUUGUUGGGGAUUCAUUUCCUUAGUAACGUACUAACGCGUGGAAGUUGACCGCCUGGGGAGUACGGUCGCAAGAUUAAAACUCAAAGGAAUUGACGGGGUCAUAGCUGUUUCCU